CAGCAGGCGCGCAAAUUACCCACUCCCGAACUGGGGAGGUAGUGACGAGAAUUAUCGGUCUUACUCUUUGAGCAAAAGACCGGAAUGGACGAAAUUCAGGNNNNUUCGUGAAAACUAGCGAGGGGCAAGUCUGGUGCCAGCAGCCGCGGUAAUUCCAGCCUCGCAUGUAAAUGUAAAAUUUGUUGCAUUUAAAACGCUCG
Molecule: ribosomal RNA, 200 nt
Filed under: Buddenbrockia sp. SH-2006
Lineage: Eukaryota; Metazoa; Cnidaria; Myxozoa; Malacovalvulida; Saccosporidae
Description: partial 18S ribosomal RNA
Rfam family: Eukaryotic small subunit ribosomal RNA
Source: RNAcentral